UUAAUUUGUCGGCCCACUUUAACGCUCGGUCGCUCCGCCUUCGGGGGCGACGCGGGCAGCGAAACAGGCCGCGCCGCUCCCGACCCCCCUCCUCCCCUCCCCCACCUCGCCGCUGCCCGAGCCACCGCCGGCAAAGCCAGGCGGCUGCAAGGACGGCGGCGGCGGGGCUCUCUUCCCUCGCUCGCAGUCAAGCUGGGCGCCGGCAAGACGGAGCUCAGGGCAAGGCGCCGGCGCCGAGGAGAAACCGACGGCGGCGUCCAGAUCCGGCGCUGGGAUGCAUGGAUCCGACCCCCCCCCCCCCCAUGGCUGGAUUUGUUGCUCCGGGCGGCGGACUGCCGGGGACGGCGAGUGGGCGGCGCGGAGGUGGCAGUGUCGGUGGCUGGAGUGGCGGCGUGGCGGAGGAGGCAGCGGCAUGGCCAUGUCUGCAGUGGCAGGCGGUGGCCGUGGCCAGAUCUGAUCGGUCGGCUGGCGCUGGAGGUGGCUGCUGCGGUGGCGGCGGCGGCUGCGGUGCCGGCGGCGUCUGCGGUGGCUGGUGACGACGGCGACAGCUGA
Molecule: long non-coding RNA, 552 nt
Filed under: Oryza sativa tropical japonica subgroup
Lineage: Eukaryota; Viridiplantae; Streptophyta; Magnoliopsida; Poales; Poaceae
Description: lncRNA OsKeNa_10g0010630
Source: RNAcentral